This 460-nucleotide ribosomal RNA is filed under the name uncultured Bdellovibrionales bacterium. Its description in RNAcentral is "bacterial SSU rRNA". It matches the Rfam family "Bacterial small subunit ribosomal RNA", at positions 925 to 1382 of the family's 1533-position model. Lineage: Bacteria; Pseudomonadati; Bdellovibrionota; Bdellovibrionia; Bdellovibrionales. The record is from RNAcentral.
ACAAGCGGUGGAGCAUGUGGUUUAAUUCGAUGCAACGCGAAAACCUUACCUGGGCUUGACAUCUCUCGGAACCCGGUAGAAACAUCGGGGUGCCCGCAAGGGAGCCGAGAGACAGGUGCUGCAUGGCUGUCGUCAGCUCGUGCCGUGAGGUGUUGGGUUAAGUCCCGUAACGAGCGCAACCCCUGCCUUUAGUUGCGGCCGGUAACGCCGAGCACUCUAAAGGGACUGCCUGGGAUAACCAGGAGGAAGGCGGGGAUGACGUCAAGUCAGCAUGGCCCUUACGUCCAGGGCUACACACGUGCUACAAUGGCCGGUACAGAGGGAAGCAAUACCGCGAGGUGGAGCGAAUCCCAGAAAACCUGUCUCAGUCCGGAUUGAAGUCUGCAACUCGACUUCAUGAAGGCGGAAUCGCUAGUAACCGCGAAUCAGCAGGUCGCGGUCGAAUACGUUCCCGGGCCUU